GGGCGCUUUCUUCUGCCCCUACUCCCGGCUGUCCGCUUCCUCCCCAGCCCCCUCCUGUGAGCUCUGGGAGCUACAGAAUAAGGACACUCCUUGGCCCCAAGCCAGCCCCAGCUUGCUCGGGAGCCUGGGUUUCCCCCUCCGUCCCCAUCACCGCGAGGGUCUGUGCAUGGGAAUCUGCUCCAGAGGCUCCCUCAGGCGCCGCGCCGCGGGGAUACGCCUUUCACCGCCCCAGCAAUUGGAGCGCUGAGUCGAAGUCCUGAUUCCACGAUAGGCGGAUGAAGCCCUAACGCUGAAAUUCUUUCCUCUAGGUCUUUGGCAGCGGCUGGGGCCAAAGCCCGGGCAAGACCAACGCCUUCGGCACCCGGACUCAGGCUCCGUCCUCUCUGCCAGCGUGCGGCUACAAUGACUCGACAUGGCAGGUGGGCAAGCACAGCACGCCCCAACAGACAUGCUUUAUUUAAUAUGUACUAAAAAUACAGCAGGCCUGUGAAACCCACAGGUGCAAUUGCUUAAAAUGAGGCUAAGGUAGACGUGUGAAUGGUUAAUAAUGAGUUGAUUAAAAUAUUCAGAAAUCAUCUACUGGAGACGGGCAAACUGCAAAAUGGUAGCAUGGGAGCAACUGAUGUUCGAGAAAGCCCAGGCUCCGGCAAGCCGUGGGUUUGAAUUUACACAUGCGCACAUAAUGGGUAUGAAUAAACCUUUCUUCAAAAAAACCAGAUCAAGUCAAGGCAGUUAUUUGCUGUGGGCAGGUGCCAAGGCUGGCUGCUUCAGUCCCCACGCGAGUCGCCCCCGAGCCUGCUUCUGCAGCCCAGCCUGGAAAGUGCAAGGCACUUGGAAAGGAGCCACGCCCAACGCCCUGUACCAGCGGCCUCCCGGACACCAACAGCGUCCUCUGCGCCUGCUGCAGCUUGUCCCUUAGUCCUCCCUGGACAGAGGGCGUGAAGUUGGCUGCGCCAACAGGACGCGGCCCGCUCACUUCGGGGCUCAUUGUCCUGGACACACAGUCAGGGCUGGACGCCUCCAGCAGCCCCACGCUUCACCCCAAGGUCCGCAAACCUGACAACUUCGGAGGUAGGGAUAUCUUGACACAGUCUGAAAACAAACCAUUUAAAACUUUUUUUCUCAAAAAAUUAAAAUAAUUUUUUUCUGCUUACAAAAUCUAUAAAUUCAGUUCAAUAUCAAUGAAAAUCGCAACAGGAUGUUGACACUUGAGAAGCUGAUUUGAAAGUUCAUCUGAAAGAGAAAAUAUAUAGGAAUCCUGAAGAUGAUUUCGAAAACCUCCAAAAAGACUUCAGUAAUUCACACAGAAAAUCCAGAAACAGAUUCAUGUUUAUGGGGAAAUUUAGUAUUUGAUACAGGAGACCUUUCAAAGCCAAGCUGGAAAGAUGGAAGGUCAACAGAGGCUUUGGGGAAAACUCACUAUCCAUUUUGAAACCAAUGUUAGAAUCUUCUUACCAUUUGCAAGAAUAAACUCCAGGUGUAUUAAAGAGCUAAACAUUUAAAAAAUCUAUAAAAGUUUUAAAGCCAAAUAUGGAAGAAUAUUUUUAAAAUCCUAUGGUGAAGAAGGCUUUUACUAAGCAGCAAACAAAACCUGGAAACCGUAAAGGAAAUGACUGACAGAUUUGAAUAUUGCAAGAACUAAAUGAAUGCCUCCUUAAACAAAUUAAAGGACAAAUUCCAGGCAGGGAGAAAAUAGUUUACAAUAGAAGUAAUGUGCCAAUGGUUAAUAUCUGUGUUGCAUAAACAUGUCUUUCCAAUCAAUAAGAAAAGAGUAGGAAAUGGGUAAGGAUUUAACAGGCAAUUCACAGAAGACAAAGUAACCGGCCCCUAAAUGGGAGCAUAUCCUCAACUUCACUAGUAAUAAAGGAAACGAAUUUAAAAGACGAUACAUUUCUCACUUCUUCUCUCCUUAUAGCUGUAUUCCACCUUUGACCAUACAGCCUGUUUUUAUUUAUCGUAAGCAUAGGUUAAUAAAUACAGGGCUUACCAUGUUAAUAUCUUCUUUCUAUGGAUGCGUAACAACUUAUUUUAUCAUUCCGUUUGUGACUGAAAUUGAAUUUCUUUCUGUAAACCUGAAAAUAUCUGAGACAAGCCUCGAUCAACUUAGAAGUUUACUUUGCCAAGAUUAAGGACACGUCUUGGGAGACAGGCCACUGCCUUCAGAGAAGGUGACAGAGGGCCAUGUCUGAAACAUUCUCCCACAACCAGGAACCCUCAGCAGCCGCUGAAGAGGAAAGGCAGUUAAAUGGAAAGACUUCUGAGCAAGUGGAGGAAAAGUCACGUGUGACCUAGGGAGGGGCUCCCACAGGAAGGGGCAAUGCCCUUGCCCUGUUCACCUAGCCUCCAGGUGGCUUCCCACUUGAAAUUUCAGAGGAUGGCAGAAACCUACUUACAAGGAAAUGAAAGAGGGCACAGCAACCUUAAGACCAGAGCAGCCCACGAUAUUUUUUAAUGAGGGCAAAAAUAGAAGACUUGCAAAAGACCCCUGAAAAUAAUGCCUGGAAGCUGCGAAACAUCAGACUGACACCGCACAAAAGAGGUCCAGCUGAGCAGGAGAAAAGCUUGAGAAGCAUCCAGAACAAUGUAGGUGGAGAGGCUAAGAAGAAAGAGGAGCCCACAUGGAAUGAAUAACCAAGGUCGGGACAGAGGAAGGUUCGCCAGAACUGGGAGGGCUGAAAUUGGACAUUGAGAUAAAUUAAAGAGUGUUCUUUAAAACUGUCAA
This 2722-nucleotide long non-coding RNA is filed under the name Homo sapiens (human). RNAcentral describes it as "novel transcript". The record is from RNAcentral. Lineage: Eukaryota; Metazoa; Chordata; Mammalia; Primates; Hominidae.